Molecule: ribosomal RNA, 563 nt
Filed under: uncultured Glomeromycotina
Lineage: Eukaryota; Fungi; Glomeromycota
Description: SSU rRNA
Rfam family: Eukaryotic small subunit ribosomal RNA
Source: RNAcentral
UUGGAGGGCAAGUCUGGUGCCAGCAGCCGCGGUAAUUCCAGCUCCAAUAGCGUAUAUUAAAGUUGCUGCAGUUAAAAAGCUCGUAGUUGAAUUUCGGGACUAAUAUGUUGGUCGUGCCUCGGUACGUACUGAUAUUUUUGGUUUCUCCCUUCUGACGAACCUUGAUGUCAUUAAUUUGGUGUCUUGGGAAAUCAGGACUGUUACUUUGAAAAAAUUAGAGUGUUUAAAGCAGGCUCACGCUUGAAUACAUUAGCAUGGAAUAAUGAAAUAGGACGUUUGAUUCUAUUUUGUUGUUUCUAGGAUCGACGUAAUGAUUAAUAGGGAUAGUUGGGGGCAUUAGUAUUCAAUUGUCAGAGGUGAAAUUCUUGGAUUUAUUGAAGACUAACUACUGCGAAAGCAUUUGCCAAGGAUGUUUUCAUUAAUCAAGAACGAAAGUUAGGGGAUCGAAGACGAUCAGAUACCGUCGUAGUCUUAACCAUAAACUAUGCCGACUAGGGAUCGGAUGAUGUUAAUUUUUUAAUGACUCAUUCGGCGCCUUACGGGAAACCAAAGUGUUUGGGUUC